AUUGAACGCUGGCGGCAGGCUUAACACAUGCAAGUCGAACGAAGUGGCGAACGGGUGAGUAACGCGUAAUCAACCUGCCCUUCAGAGGGGGACAACAGUUGGAAACGACUGCUAAUACCGCAUACUGAAGGAGGGGAUUGCGUCUGAUUAGCUAGUUGGAGGGGUAACGGCCAACCAAGGCGAGGAUCAGUCGCCGGUCUGGGAGGAUGAACGGCCACAUUGGGACUGGGGAACGGCCCAGACCCCUACGGGAGGCAGCCGGGGGGAAUCUUCCGCAAUGGACGAAAGUCUUACGGAGCAACGCCGCGGGAGUGAUGACGGCCUUCGGGUUGGAAAGCUCUGUUAAUCGGGACGCGGUACCGGAAUAGAAAGCCACGGCUAACUACGUGCCAGCAGCCGCGGUAAUUC
This 408-nucleotide ribosomal RNA is filed under the name uncultured bacterium. RNAcentral's name for it is "partial 16S ribosomal RNA". It matches the Rfam family "Bacterial small subunit ribosomal RNA", at positions 29 to 526 of the family's 1533-position model. The record is from RNAcentral.